Molecule: ribosomal RNA, 251 nt
Filed under: uncultured bacterium
Lineage: Bacteria
Description: partial 16S ribosomal RNA
Rfam family: Bacterial small subunit ribosomal RNA
Source: RNAcentral
UACGUAGGGACCAAGCGUUGUCCGGAAUCAUUGGCGUAAAGAGCGUGUAGGCGGCUUGUUAAGUCUUGCGUGAAAUCUCGGGCUCAACCCCGAGCGGUCGUGAGAAACUGGCAGGCUAGAGUGCGGGAGAGGAGAGUGGAAUUCCUGGUGUAGCGGUGAAAUGCGCAGAUAUCAGGAAGAACACCCGUGGCGAAGGCGGCUCUCUGGAACGCAACUGACGCUGAGACGCGAAAGCGUGGGGAGCAAACAGG